AACGCGCAGUGUCGAAGUUGGCCCCCGAAGCUCUUCCGUCUCCCCCCCGGGCCUCCCGGGGAGGUUGCGGGCGGCGAGGGGUGCCUCCGGCCGCACGCCCAUUCUUGUCUACUGACCCGGUUGCCUCGGCGGGCCGCGCCUGCUGUGCUACAGCGGCCGUUCGGGGGGGACGCCUGAGGGGGACUCUUGUUUCCUAGGCCACGCCCCGGGCAGCGCUCGCCGGAGGAUUACUCUGGAAAACACACUCUUGAAAGAACAUACCGUCUGAGCGAGCAACGCAAAUCAGUUAAAACUUUCAACAACGGAUCUCUUGGUUCCGGCAUCGAUGAAGAACGCAGCGAAAUGCGAUAAGUAAUGUGAAUUGCAGAAUUCCGUGAAUCAUCGAAUCUUUGAACGCACAUUGCGCCCCCUGGCAUUCCGGGGGGCAUGCCUGUUCGAGCGUCAUUUCAACCCCUCAAGCCCGGCUUGUGUGAUGGACGACCGUCCCCCCUCCCCAACAACCACCCACCGCUUAGGGGGGUGGGAGGGAGGGGGACGCGCCCGAAAAGCAGUGGUCAGGCCGCGAUU
This 567-nucleotide unclassified non-coding RNA is filed under the name Microsporum ferrugineum. RNAcentral describes it as "partial contains ITS1, 5.8S rRNA and ITS2". The stretch from base 291 to 444 matches the Rfam family "5.8S ribosomal RNA". Lineage: Eukaryota; Fungi; Ascomycota; Eurotiomycetes; Onygenales; Arthrodermataceae. The record is from RNAcentral.